GAGAUGACACUACAGACAGUAAUGAGGAUAGGAGCCGGCCAUUUACACAUGACACUCUGGAAGGAGGAAGAAUUCCAAGAUGGCAGGAAACUGGCUGCUUUCACCUACCCAGCAUUCUUCUCAUACAAGCACAGUGUUGUGCGUUUCACCAGAAAAAAAAAAAUCAAGACUUGGGGUUCUUUGCCGCCUUGCCAGGAAGCGCUCCUCUCUCUCCCCCAACACCUUCUAGAUUGGUUGUUGAAGCUCAAACACAGGAAGCUCCUGGAAAGUAGGGUCAUUCCCAACUCACGUCUGUUCUCUGGCCAUGAGUCAUCACUGUGGUAGCCCAGUAAAUGUUGGUUGGAUCACCACAUCCUCACUGUAUGUGAUACAUAGGUAAAGGAGAACCCUUGCUUUCUGUAUGAAUCCCUCGCAAGUGAAGAUCCAUUUCUUACAUAUUCUUAUUCUUCCCAGUUAGCCCUCAGCAGUGAUGCAACGGGUGCUCAAUAAAUGUUUUC
Mus musculus (house mouse) is the source of this 497-nucleotide long non-coding RNA. RefSeq annotates it as predicted gene, 51677. NCBI's taxonomy places the organism in Eukaryota, Metazoa, Chordata, Mammalia, Rodentia, Muridae. The transcript has 3 exons. The record is from RefSeq and is a predicted model, not a curated record.